Molecule: ribosomal RNA, 446 nt
Filed under: uncultured bacterium
Lineage: Bacteria
Description: partial 16S ribosomal RNA
Rfam family: Bacterial small subunit ribosomal RNA
Source: RNAcentral
ACUACGGGAGGCAGCAGUAGGGAAUUUUCGGCAAUGGGGGGGACCCUGACCGAGCAACGCCGCGUGAGCGAAGAAGUUAUUCGUAAUGUAAAGUUCUUUUAACAGGGAAGAAAGAGCAAUUUGACGGUACCUGAAGAAUAAUCUCCGGCUAACUACGGUCCAGCAGCCGCGGUACUACGGAGGGAGCGAGCGUUAUCCGGAAUUAUUGGUCGUAAAGGGUGCGUAGAUGGGAUAGUAAGUCUUUUGUAAAAAUGCUGGGCUCAACCCAGUAGGGCAAAAGAUACUGCAAAGCUAGAGUAUGACAGAGGCAAGUGGAACUACAGGUGUAGCGGUAAAAUGCGUAAAUAUAUGUAAGAACACCAGUGGCGAAGGCGGCUUGCUGGGUCGAUACUGACAUUGAGGCACGAAAGCGUGGGGAGCAAACAGGAUUAGAUACCCUGGUAGUC